Molecule: ribosomal RNA, 492 nt
Filed under: uncultured bacterium
Lineage: Bacteria
Description: partial 16S ribosomal RNA
Rfam family: Bacterial small subunit ribosomal RNA
Source: RNAcentral
AGUGAACGCUGGCGGUAGGCCUAACACAUGCAAGUCGAACGGCAGCACAGUAAGAGCUUGCUCUUACGGGUGGUGAGUGGCGGACGGGUGAGGAAUACAUCGGAAUCUACUUUUUCGUGGGGGAUAACGUAGGGAAACUUACGCUAGUACCGCAUACGACCUACGGGUGAAAGCAGGGGAUCUUCGGACCUUGCGCGAUUGAAUGAGCCGAUGUCGGAUUAGCUAGUUGGCGGGGUAAAGGCCCACCAAGGCGACGAUCCGUAGCUGGUCUGAGAGGAUGAUCAGCCACACUGGAACUGAGACACGGUCCAGACUCCUACGGGAGGCAGCAGUGGGGAAUAUUGGACAAUGGGCGCAAGCCUGAUCCAGCCAUACCGCGUGGGUGAAGAAGGCCUUCGGGUUGUAAAGCCCUUUUGUUGGGAAAGAAAAGCAGCAGGUUAAUACCCCGCUGUUCUGACGGUACCCAAAGAAUAAGCACCGGCUAACUUCGUG